Molecule: ribosomal RNA, 763 nt
Filed under: uncultured Bacteroidota bacterium
Lineage: Bacteria; Pseudomonadati; Bacteroidota
Description: bacterial SSU rRNA
Rfam family: Bacterial small subunit ribosomal RNA
Source: RNAcentral
CGCGUAUCCAACCUGCCCACCACUUGGGGAUAACCUUGCGAAAGUAAGACUAAUACCCAAUGAUAUCUCUAGAAGACAUCUGAAAGAGAUUAAAGAUUUAUCGGUGAUGGAUGGGGAUGCGUCUGAUUAGCUUGUUGGCGGGGUAACGGCCCACCAAGGCAACGAUCAGUAGGGGUUCUGAGAGGAAGGUCCCCACAUUGGAACUGAGACACGGUCCAAACUCCUACGGGAGGCAGCAGUGAGGAAUAUUGGUCAAUGGACGAGAGUCUGAACCAGCCAAGUAGCGUGCAGGAUGACGGCCCUAUGGGUUGUAAACUGCUUUUAUAAGGGAAUAAAGUGAGUCUCGUGAGACUUUUUGCAUGUACCUUAUGAAUAAGGACCGGCUAAUUCCGUGCCAGCAGCCGCGGUAAUACGGAAGGUCCGGGCGUUAUCCGGAUUUAUUGGGUUUAAAGGGAGCGUAGGCCGGAGAUUAAGCGUGUUGUGAAAUGUAGACGCUCAACGUCUGCACUGCAGCGCGAACUGGUUUCCUUGAGUACGCACAAAGUGGGCGGAAUUCGUGGUGUAGCGGUGAAAUGCUUAGAUAUCACGAAGAACUCCGAUUGCGAAGGCAGCUCACUGGAGCGCAACUGACGCUGAAGCUCGAAAGUGCGGGUAUCGAACAGGAUUAGAUACCCUGGUAGUCCGCACGGUAAACGAUGGAUGCCCGCUGUUGGUCUGAAUAGGUCAGCGGCCAAGCGAAAGCUUUAAGCAUCCCACCUGGGGA